Molecule: long non-coding RNA, 7333 nt
Filed under: Lotus japonicus
Lineage: Eukaryota; Viridiplantae; Streptophyta; Magnoliopsida; Fabales; Fabaceae
Description: long non-coding RNA (LJAP_LNC001863)
Source: RNAcentral
GGUCGAGCGGGUUCUGCACCCGAUCCCAAGUCUAUAGCAGCCGCGACAGUGGGUGAACUAGUGCCUGAAGAAGUCCCUCCCACAGGCACCUCCUCCGAGGGGUACUCGUCGUCCGAAGGCGACGGUGGUGGUGGCACUCCCAGUCCAGGUCCGCAGUGUACACCCGGUGGCAAGUUGAAGCUGAUAGUGUAGUGCCUCCAGACUCCGUGCGUCAGGCUUGGCAUCCGGUCAAUGCGAUCCUCCAUUAUUCGCCCUGAAUAGAUAGCUCGGUGGCCGGCGGGGUCGACCACCCAUGAGCCCGGGGUGUCUUGGUCCAACAUCUCAAACCUGGUCCCCCCCGAAGGGACGACCGUCUCGUACCAGUCCGCCAUACUCAACUGACAAUGGCGUAGUCCGCCCAAACACACACAGAAGACGCGAGGGUCAACUCCAAAGAAUUAUAUAAAUAAUAAAACCAGAUAUAUAGGGUAAUAAUUAUUUAGCCUCUCAGGCUUAUACGUUUAGGGAUAACAUCCUAGGGUUGCAUAUAUCACAAUGAAUAUAAAGAUCAUAAUAACAAUUAGCAUGCCUCAAGUAGGAUAAACAGGUACCAAUCACACUCAGCAACUAAGUCAGCAUGUAUGUUGCAUGAAAUGCAAUGCUGGGUAACAAAAUGCAUUCCGGAAGAAGGAUGGACACCAUCGAGUCAGCCCUAACACCGGCCAAAGUGGGACCAUUCCGCUCGGGCGCCUCUUACACCACACAAAAGUAGUCAGAUCAGCAGUGAACCCGUAGGUCUGCCAUUCCGUCUGCUACUAAGGACCACCGUAGUGUCCUAAAUAUGGAAAUCCGGGUCUUAUGACCAUUUUGGAAUCCACCGAGGUCCGGUAAUCCGCCGUGUAUUAACCUCAAAAUGAGUGCAUGAAUGCAAGUGAUUAGCCAAACAACGUCUCCGACCUCACUCGACACGUCGUCACGUGUUCUAGCUAACUUAUUGUCUCUAAAAAGCCUACCCUAAGGCAAAUGUCGAUUCUGCGACAAAAUGAAUUAAUCAAAAGAAGAAGAAUGUACUUGGGAACUCAUGGUUCCCGGCUAAACUUUAGAUAGCCAAUCAAUAAACUGCUCAUCGAGCGAAAGGGUACCGAAGUACUUGGAAACUUAUAGUCUCCGGCUAAACUUUAGAUAGCCAAACAUUAAACUGCUCAUCGAGCGAAAGAGUAUAAGCAUACUCGGAAACUUGUAAGUUUCCUCAAGACUUGGACUCGACGACACUUCUCAUUUUUCAAAACUAAUAUUCGAGCCCUAAACUUUCGUCUGAGUCUUUUAUCAUUAUAUUAAGGGUUUUGAGUUUGUUUAAUACAUUAUGGAGGUUCAUUAUGAAAUUGUUUAAGUUUCGUCUCUAAUCCUAUUAGUUUCAAAGAUCCCAUAAUUCCAAUGAUUCCCUGGAGAUGGUCUCAAAACAAAAGGUCCAUCAUCACCCAAGUAAUGGCCCGAGAAGUUCCCAGGUAAGCUGGCCGGGCACAAUGCCACAUUAAAAGCCCUUCUUGCCUUAGACAGAACAACCCAAGUUCUUACGUGAAUUCAAAUGGGGUUUUUCCAAUAUCAUUUUCAAACUCAUUUUCCUUUGAGAAGGUCUUGAUCCAUAAAGCAAUAAUAGGGUACGAACCUUGGUCCGUCCCAUCAAACUUUCCCAAAAUCUCCAAAGUAAAAUCGGCAUGACGUGCCCGUUAUCCUCACUCUGAAGCAUAACAGAUAUAAGUGGAGUAACAUAAAUAAAUCAGCUCAAUCAAUAAACAUAAACAGCAUAUUCCAACACAUCCUAGAUUAACCAUUUAGCACAUAACAUGUGAAUCAUUUAGCACACAAUAUCAUGGCAUCCAGUACUCUACAAGAUCGGCCGAAGCCUCAGAAAUCAUUUCAGGCAAUUAGCAAUUAAGUGCAUAACACAUAAAUCAAGUCGAAUUCGUCGACACCUAAAGCAUUAUCUAGUAAUUCAGAGAGUAGCCCUCACCUGUUGGUUUUCCAGCUCGUUCCUUGGACUUUCCUUCACAAUCUUCCUCCUCAAGUCCUCCGAAUUCCUCAAACGAACCUUAAAGCAAUUUCACAGAAAUCAAUCACAAUGAGUCAGAAACUUAGCAAACAAUAAGUCCUAGGUCACACGGAACACUACAACUCCGUGGUACGACAAUCUAACGCGUUAGGACAAGUUUUUGAAAAAGUCGGAUUUCCUCCCCCCUUAAUUGUGUGGGUCGAUUUUUCUUCGAUCAAACUUGGUUCCUAGGUUAUCAUAAGUCGUAACUAAGGCGGAUCUAAGCUCGGAAAAAUUUUCGGAUCGAAAACUGACAUAGGGGUAGUUUGGUCAUUAUUUUAAACUCAGAAUUUCAAAACUGGAUUUUUGAAAAACAAAUUGGAUGGAGAUGUCAACAACGACGUUUAUGACAACUAAUCCUACUAGCACUAAGCCAAGUCGAGAGUUCUAAGCUAAAAGGUUGCGACUUUCUUAAAAAUGGGUAUUCGAAGCAAGAAUUGAUUCCGGCGGAAUUUCGGCGACAUCUGACAAAAUCUAAUCCGCAGAACACGCUCAGGAGCAUGCAGGGAAGAUGUUUAGACAGAGAAAUCAAGCUAUUUGGACAAUUUUCCAAAAACCUCAAAACUUUGGACACAGAAAGACUUAGGAGAAGUCGACAGAAACGACGAUCAGAAGAGGGAUAUAGUUUACCUACCUCAAGGUCUUCGAUUAGCAACGAUCGGUGAAGCAAACGGGCAAGGAUUCGCGAAGAUCAACUUCCUCCUCUUCUCCUCUCUUGGCCGCGGUUUUGGGGAAAGAAAAUGGGUGAGUUUUGCAAAAUUUUCAUUUUCUAGCUUAUAACCUAUAUAUAGUGAAGGAAAUGGAGAUAUUUUGCAAAGUUUGGAUAAGGAUGCAUUGGUAUUUAUCAAGGAUUGGAUAAGGAUGGAUAGAUAUUUUUGAAAGACUGGAUAAGAACGAAUAGAUAUUUUAGGGAGAUAUUUUGAGAAGAUAUUUUGUAAACCGGUACAGAUUAGUUUAGAUACCGGAGGAUUUAACUCAUAGAGUUAAAAUAAAAAUAUAAGAGUGAUUCCUAUUUUUCCGGCUUCGUUCUCCGUGAAUUCUAAGAUAGGUUUUGACGACAGAAAUCCAAAACUCAACAGAAGUUUCCUUCUAUUUUAGGUGACUAAUGCAAAAUCGGUGUAAAACCUUUUUACCCGAUAAGUUACUUUUUGCAGUGGAUGUCGGAUGAGAAAACUUCCUUCUGAAGAAAGAUUAGAAACAACGAGAGAAGUAGGCGAUCACGGGUGGAAUCUUCAUUUGAAGCUCCGAAUAGAAAAAAUCUUCAUCGUCCGUCGAUUUUAGGGUUUUUCAACUAUCAGGGAUUCCGUUUCGGCAAACUUCCGAGAAUUGGAAUUUGACGUUCGUACGUUCCAGGGUUUCGCGUCGAAAUACUUGUUUAUAGACGAAUAAGAGAAAUUCUAAUAUUUCUCUGAGGUUUUUUUGGAAUUAGUUUCCAUCGUGUCCUAAAGUAUAAAUUAACUAUUCACUAUGGUCUUCGACCUAAGAUUAGGCGAACGUUAGUCGUGCUAUAACUUCUAUCGGUUUUGAUAUAAUCCUUGGACUUUUCCUGAACCUUCUCUUUCAUAAAUUUAUUUCAUCCAAUAAACUCUUGUAUUUUAUUCCCUUAUCCAAAAUUUAAAAACUUGGGUCUUACAUUACUACCCUCCAAAAAGAAAGUUUCGACCUCGAAACUUAUGGUUCAGUAAAAAUUCCGGAUACUGUCCCUCGAUCUGUUCCUUAAGCUCCCAUGUAGCAUCGCCUAUGUCCUUGUUCCAAAUGAUUGUCACCAUUGCUAAUUGGCGGCGCUUUUCGAAAGACAGUUCAUCUUUCAGCUCUAUGUCACCCGGCUCGACCCCUCGUGUCGGGUCUAUGUUGGAAAUAGUAUUGGUUGGCACUCUGUGCAAUCGCACAGCCUUAACCACUUGCUCAUUUACUUUCGUUCGUCCGAUAUUCUGCUUAAACCCAGUACACCUCCGCCAUUCCAGAGUGGAUGUUCAACCUGUCCUCGUGAUCUUUACUCAUGAUUCGAAACUUAACUCGAUCGCUCUAUAUCUCAUAGACGAACUUAUUCCCUUGGAGUCUACCAAUCUCUUAACGUCAGUUCCAACUUCGUAACUAUCCUCAUUCGCACCAUGAAAUCAAUCUUCUACUUAUUCAUCAUUCAAAUUAAAACUCGACUUGAGUCUUAAUACCUUGUGCAUCGCUAGACCCAAUCCCUUUUAACAUCCAUUCAUCAGCAACUUAUAAGCUAAUCACCAUCUUAAUAUCUUACAAUCCAUUAUUGUCAUCUCCCCUUUUUCGAGACUUCCCUUACUUGAACCAUAAAACCAACCUUCACUUAUUCACAAACCACUUUACACUUACCUAAAAUCCUUAACACUUCCCCCAAAUCCGAACUUAUUCCCUAGAAGAUCAAAUCAUAAUUGUACCUCAGGAAACUUAACUAGUCAUUUUAUCAUCCUAUCUCUCAACAUUCUGAGGUUUAACUACAAUCGUUAAUGCUAACACCACUAAAUAUCUUAUUUGUACAUGAUUUUCACCUCCCAAGGUCAAUCUUAACCCUAAGAUCCUCAUUCAACUUAGUAAAAAUCACUUGCUAACCCCAGCAUGUAACAUCGGAAUCCAUAACCAAGUUCCAUUCACUCUUAGACUCUAAGAAAUUUGUCCACAUAUAACAACCUCAAGUAUUCAUCUUCAUACUAACUCAUUAUUUUCGUAACUAGAUCGUCCUCCAAUUAAUCUGAUUCUUAGUCUCUUGAUCAAAACCUGACAAACCUUGAGUCCUACGCACUUAAGACAAGAAUUCAUAGACUUAGAACCUAAACUUUCACCAAGUUUGGACCUCCAAUGUCUUUUAAUUCUUCAAUACUUCUUAAAUGAAUAUCCAUUUCUUAAAAUUAUAACUCCUUCCCCAAAGAAAUCGAUUACUUAACAAGAACUUUACUUCCCAACUCAACUAAUCCUCGAUCCAAUCAAAUUAAUCUUACCAAUCCAUCUAUCAAAGUCCAUUGCCAGUUCUGAUUCCGAAUAUCACCCCCUCAAUAUUCAGUUGAUCAGGCCUAAUUCAUCGAAGGUGAAGAUUUAGAAAAACCCACUGGAACAGUCAAUGAGUUCCUAUCAUCCAGUAGUCACAAAGAUCUUGAUAUUAAAUCCCCAAUGAUGCCGCUACGAAACUACACACUCUCGACAUCAUACGUAUACUAUCCAUACGGAAUCUCUCUGAGGUUCAUCCUUCAGCUUCUAGCUUCUUGUUAAACGCAUCGGUGCAAGACUACUUUCUAGGCUUAACGUGUUAUUCUAAACCUCGUGUAACUUCUAUAGUUUAAACACGAGCAACGGUCAAAUAAAGUAUUAUUAGGCGUAAUAACUAUAAAGUCAAAGCUCGACAGUAAGGGCAAGUUAGGUGUGUUGCACGUUCUACGAGAGUAAUGAAGCGUAUUAUACUAGAAUGAGAAAGAAUAGUUAGAAGGUUACCAUCGUUUGUGCGCUCUCCUCUGACUAGUCGACCAGCUCCCUCGCCGCACGAGACAUAGACUCCUCCCCGUGCAGCAGGAUGUCUUCCUCUUACCGUAGGCACAGAUGGCUCAACCCUGGUUACAUUGCAAUCCUUGGCUUGAUGCCCCGGGCGAUUGCAGUUGAAACAUAGAGGUCUCCCGUCUGGACACUUGUUAGAGUGGUGCCCCACCUUCUUGCACCUGUAACACGUUACUUGCUUCCUCGCCCCUUUAGAUAUGGCAGGAAGUUUACCCUUCAUCUUGUUGUCAGACGGUCCUGCUUGGAACGUCCUACAGUUUACGGCCAAAUGUCCACGUUGUUUGCACUUGCAGCAUUUUGGUCCAGUCAUUGGGCACUGAAAGGCGUAGUGUCCACGUUUUCUACAACGGUAGCAUGUCACAGCCUCCUGGCCAUUGGUUGUGGUCGUUGACUUGCGUGAUCCUUGGGUAGGGUCUCUUCCCUCGGGAUGCUGGUAUGGCUUCCACUGUCGGUGCUCCUGUGGAUCUGACCUCACUGGUCCUCCAGUUCCAGCUCGGUCCAAUCUACUUUGCUGGUAUUUGGACGCCUCGAUUAGCGGUUGAGGUUGUUCACGUGCAGCCUCCUUAGCGUGUCUGUAAGCGUCUUCAGCAGCCUGAUUCAUCAUUGCCUCAAUCAUGGUAGCUAUUGCCUUUGCCAUCCUGUCAGGGUUUACCAUCCUAUGCUUAGUCAAACAAACAGUUAGUACUCAUCAUAAGAUAGUCUCUGGCACUACUAUACAAUAUGAUUAAGCAAUAACUUCAAUCAAUUCUAAGCGAACAAAUCGCUUGGCAGACAAUCAAUUUUUACUCUUUACAGAGUCACACAACCUAGCACAGAAGACCUAUUCCCCAAAGACUCCCGAAAGACUCGACAAGCUCUGAUACCACAAUUGUAACACCCCGAUUUCGGUGGUGUCACUUUAGUAACUAAAAGAAAAUACUUUAUGCGGAAAAACGUGAAUAUAUUUUUUUUUUCUCGAUAAUACAAAAUUAAAGACUGAAGGUAAAUAGAACUUGUCGACAGAAGGUAAAAGAGAACUAAUAUACAUCUACGUAUAUUUACAUGCCUCGCUGUAAGUAGUCAACCACGUCACGAGUAACCCUCCAGUGACGGGUGGCAGAAGAGAGUAACGCCCGAAGGCAAUAUGUACAUUUCAAGAUAAAGGGUUCUGUGUCUGCAACACAAACCUUCAAAAACUGAGAGUAAGUUGGCCCAGAUGGCCUAAGCCAAGACCUCCUAAGUCCAACCAGCUCUCUGUGAUUUCCGUAAAGAGAACCCCAAGAAAAGCUAAAGGUCGGGGACCUACCCUGCCCAAAACGAAAGACUGAACAUCAGAGCCAAGACGCUACUCCUACACUAAUCCCAACUAUGCAUCCCCAAGAUCGUCGUCUGAAUCUAAAUCCAAGACGACUAUGUCGAUGACUGCAUCGGUCUCCACAGUUGGUCGAGCGGGUUCUGCACCCGAUCCCAAGUCUAUAGCAGCCGCGACAGUGGGUGAACUAGUGCCUGAAGAAGUCCCUCCCACAGGCACCUCCUCCGAGGGGUACUCGUCGUCCGAAGGCGACGGUGGUGGUGGCACUCCCAGUCCAGGUCCGCAGUGUACACCCGGUGGCAAGUUGAAGCUGAUAGUGUAGUGCCUCCAGACUCCGUGCGUCAGGCUUGGCAUCCGGUCAAUGCGAUCCUCCAUUAUUCGCCCUGAAUAGAUAGCUCGGUGGCCGGCGGGGUCGACCACCCAUGAGCUUGGGGUGUCUUGGUCCAACAUCUCAAACCUGG